AACGAACGCUGGCGGCAUGCCUAACACAUGCAAGUCGAACGAUACCUUCGGGGCUAGUUGCUCACGGUUGCUUAACGCGUGGGAACCUGCCCGUAGGUUCGGAAUAACUCCCCGAGAAGUAUGCUAAUACCGGUUAAGGUCUUCGGACCAAAGAUUUAUCGCCUUUGGUUUGGCCCUCGUUAGCUUAUCUAGUUGGUAGUGUAAAAGCCUACCAAGGCGACGAUCCAUAGCUGGUCUGAGAGGAUGAUAAGCCACACUGGGAAUGAGACACGGCCCAGAACCCUACGGAAGGGAGCAGUGGGGAAUAUUGGACAAUGGGCGAAAGCCUGAUAAAGCCAUGCCGCGUGAGUGAUGAAGGCCUUAGGGUUGUAAAGCUCUUUUACACGGGAUGAUAAUGACAGUACCGGGAGAAUAAGCGCCGGCUAACUACGUG
Molecule: ribosomal RNA, 433 nt
Filed under: uncultured bacterium
Lineage: Bacteria
Description: partial 16S ribosomal RNA
Rfam family: Bacterial small subunit ribosomal RNA
Source: RNAcentral